UUGAUAAUAAUUUCAUUACUCCAUAAAAAUAAACAUAAAACCCACAUCAUUGUCAUAACGAUAACUAUUGUAAUUCAUCUCACAAUUACAAAAUAUGGAUAUGAUAUGAGUUGUAGAAGACUUAAAUCCUAGUUAUAAAAUAAGGUCAUGAGUUUCUAGGUUAGCCAUGUGAUAAUUGAUUAGUCGAGCUUGGAAAAUUUACAAAGGCCUUUCACCAAGUUCUACAAAAAAAGAAAGUCGGGAGCUAGCAUUCACCAACCACUUUCAUCCCAGAAACAAUUCACCAACACCAUCAUAUAUUCUAUUAG
Molecule: long non-coding RNA, 308 nt
Filed under: Olea europaea (common olive)
Lineage: Eukaryota; Viridiplantae; Streptophyta; Magnoliopsida; Lamiales; Oleaceae
Description: long non-coding RNA (OEUR_LNC013238)
Source: RNAcentral